CGCAUUUGAGAGACGGUAAGAGAACACAUUUGGGAGAAAUGGAUCGAGAAGCUUCUGUCCUCUGUUUGGAUUGUCUGUUGCUGGCAAAUAUGGGUUUGCCGUUCGUCACAACUGAGGGUUCCAUGAAGCUCGCGAUUCCUCUGCUAUUCCUCCUCUGUUUCUACAUCGCAUGUUGCCCUUCUUCUUCCUCCUACUGUUCCGCAUUGGUGCUGUUCUAGGUGAGGGAGAGAACUUUGAGACUUUAUACACAUUCCUCCUUUGCUCCUUGUGCAGCUAGCCCUAUACCUUCAUAUGAUCAUCGAGGGGUUUUAUUUGCAAGUGAAAGAUGAAGCAUUAUGCUGAUUAAUCUCCGUUCUCAUAAAAUUUGAAUUUAUAUAAUAUAUGUUGUAAAUUCUAUCAUGAAUGCUUCACAUAUAUUAUAGUUAGAAUCCUUAUUUUGAUUAA
Molecule: long non-coding RNA, 444 nt
Organism: Prosopis cineraria
Lineage: Eukaryota; Viridiplantae; Streptophyta; Magnoliopsida; Fabales; Fabaceae
Exons: 2
Source: RefSeq, a predicted model, not a curated record